RNAcentral lists this ribosomal RNA (78 nucleotides) under Vibrio crassostreae. RNAcentral describes it as "partial 16S ribosomal RNA". It matches the Rfam family "Bacterial small subunit ribosomal RNA", at positions 1 to 78 of the family's 1533-position model. Lineage: Bacteria; Pseudomonadati; Pseudomonadota; Gammaproteobacteria; Vibrionales; Vibrionaceae. The record is from RNAcentral.
AAAUUGAAGAGUUUGAUCAUGGCUCAGAUUGAACGCUGGCGGCAGGCCUAACACAUGCAAGUCGAGCGGAAACGACAC